RNAcentral lists this ribosomal RNA (487 nucleotides) under uncultured bacterium. RNAcentral's name for it is "partial 16S ribosomal RNA". It matches the Rfam family "Bacterial small subunit ribosomal RNA", at positions 28 to 507 of the family's 1533-position model. The record is from RNAcentral.
GAUGAACGCUAGCGAUAGGCUUAACACAUGCAAGUCGAGGGGCAGCACAAGGUAGCUUGCUAUCUGGGUGGCGACCGGCGCACGGGUGCGUAACGCGUAUGCAACUUGCCCUAUACAGGAGGAUAACCCGUCGAAAGACGGACUAAUACUGCGUAUGCUCACAACUUGGCAUCAAGUGGUGAGGAAAGAAAUUCGGUAUAGGAUAGGCAUGCGUCCCAUUAGCUUGUUGGUGAGGUAACGGCUCACCAAGGCAACGAUGGGUAGGGGAACUGAGAGGUUUAUCCCCCACACUGGUACUGAGACACGGACCAGACUCCUACGGGAGGCAGCAGUGAGGAAUAUUGGUCAAUGGGCGCGAGCCUGAGCCAGCCAAGUCGCGUGAAGGAUGACUGUCUUAUGGAUUGUAAACUUCUUUUAUACGGGAAUAACAAGAGUCACGUGUGACUCCCUGCAUGUACCGUAUGAAUAAGCAUCGGCUAACUCCGUG